CGGCGCGGGGCACUCUGGGAGUUGUAGUUCCGCUCCUGGCGCGGCCACCCUGCCGGCCCAGACGGGGCCUCGGACUACAAGCCCCAGCAUGCCGCGCCCCGGAUGCCGUGGCGGUCAGAGGAAGCCGCGAGCUGAAGGGCGAGGCCGGGCGGGGCGCUGGGCUCCGGCACCUCGGGCUCCUGCUUGUGUCGCCUCCCGCAGCUCCGGGCCAGCUCAGGCCGUCCUCCCGUCGUGUCGCACCGCUCUCCGGUGGCGAAGACGGAGCCCACACCCGCCGCACAGCGAGUCAGAGCCUCUGUCUCUUGCAAAAUAGAGAUUUCAUGAAAGACAAAGCCGUACCGUGUGCCGUGCGGUUUACAGUAAAGGACUGGGCAGGGUCUGUGCUCAGCCCGCAGCUCCGGCUCUUCCCAGUUCCCUGCUUUCUGAAAUCACUUCGAAGCGUCUCCCCAUGUGAUUAGACUAGACAGACCGGCCCGGGGCGGGGUCAGCACCUGCUUCCCUGGUCCCCAGGCUGGGGCUUCAGCUCUCUGCAGAAAGGCCACAUGGAGAGCUGAGGCAGAAGCAUCACUCCAUCAGACUCUGGGGAUGAGAAGUAUGGAGCCUGGAACCAUAUAAGGUGAUAAAGCCAGAGCUUCACUUACUCCAUAAAUGUUAACACCUGCCAAGUGCCGGGCCUGUUCUAAACACUGAGGAUCCCACAUGAACAAAGGAGACAAAAAUGUCUGCCUUUGUGAUGCUUCCCUCAUAGUGAAAGGAAACAAUUAAAAAUAAGCAGGAAAAACACGUAUAGCCGUAUGUCAGAUGGUGAAAAAUACUAAGGAGAAAUAAGAGAAGAGAGCUUCGGAGUGACAACAGUGACUACAUUUAGCUUUGUUUUCUAACAGUGUAUCUGGGGUUCGGAGCAGAGCAGAGAGAAGAUGUGGCCCUCGUGCUGGGACGAGCCUGCGUUGCUGGGAUCAGUGUUCAUUUUGCAGCACUGCCUUUGGGACCAGCACACACUCAGUGUCCCCACUAAGUCCCUCUUCCUCCCCAGGCGGUGUCCAUUCUCACACAGCAAACUUCAGGGGCAAGCACAUCUCUGGAGAGUGGAUCAGUGCAAGGCUGAAGUUACUGAAAUGUUCGACCAGUUGUGCCUCAGAUUUGACAGCAGAGAUGAUUAACAAUAACAUAAUUAUUGAACUGCAAACAAACAAACAAAAGGUGUUUCUCAGAACUGAAAAAUCAGAGAAGCAGUAAAUAGCCCUGAGCAGGCCUGCACAAGCCUGAGCUGAGACCCACACAAGCACACCUCCGCUGCCAGGAGCACCUCCAAGCUUUCACCCCUUCCUAAACCCCUGACCGGAAGAUUCUGGCUGUGCCCAAGUUUCUCCAGGAGAGGGCAACACCGGCCUUAACAAACUGCCCUGCCAGCAGAUGUGCUGUGGCUGCCAGAAUGAGGUCAAGAUAUUUAAGGAAGUGGGAGGUUGCAAAAAACCAUAUAAAAAUAGAUUGUGUUCUAUUACUGUGUUUUGCCCAGUCCUUGACUAGGCAAGGCUGCGUAGCAGUCUGUCUGUUGUCACUUAACCUUUAGCAUUGCUGUGCCCGCUGACCAAUUCAUGAAGACCAGUGCUGUGACUCUGCCCCUAUCCCUCUCAGAAUGUACCCAGAACUCAAGGUAAGACACAGCAAUGCUAGUUUAUUCUGCCCGAGGGAGCGUAAACGGUGUCUUAACAACUCAAGCUUCAUGACUCAAGCUUUGAAACCACCUUACCUCCCCUUGGAAUAAAAUAAGAAGUGAAGACAAGGCAGUUCUCUGGGAUCUGUAAGGCCUGACCCAUGCCAACAUUUGUGUUGUUGGGAUCCUUUCAUUUUUGGAAAACUAGGAGAGCAGAUGAGACACAGAACCCACAAGAAAUAGCCAAUAAACUCAGUCACCCUGGGUGAUAGAAUUUCAGAGCUGGAAGGAGCCUUACUCCACAGUCUAGAAACUGAGGCUGGGAGGUAGUGCCACAGCUGCUGUCACAGCUGAAGAUUGCGCAUCCCUGCCCCACCGAGGACCCACCUCGGCUUCAGAUGCUUCCUCACCAACGCGGAGAUUCCCGUGCUUGGGGUGGGGAGACGGAGCCGUGGAAGAGGGUGCGUGCUCAGAGCCAGCUUCCAGAGAGCUGAAAGUAGAGCCUCCUAGCUGCACCCUUCCAUCCACCGCUUCCAGGCGUCCUCCUGAGGACGGACAGCCCACUUGCUGACCAGAGCAGAGAGGCCGGCACUCAUCGGGAACUACAGCUCCCAGCAGACACCAGACGGGGACAGGCUGUGCCCCUGUGCCCGUUCCAGAUUCCCAAAUAUGGAGAAGGACUGGGCUUGGGGAGAGGAACUGAGUGUUCACCCUUGAGAGAGGGAGAGAGAGAGGAUGAGGUGGCAUGUAGCGGCGAGUGACUUCCUUCACCUCUAAGACUGAAGCUCCACGGACUGGCUGCGGAGCAGGGAGGAAGAGGAGCAGGUCAUUGAAAGUCAUAAUCAAGCUUGGUCUCUGAGCCCUUCUCCAAGGAGAAGGUCACAGGACUGUAACCUUACAAAAUAGCCUAAAUUACCAAGAAGACCACACCUUGAGUGCUUAGGAGAUAAAGAGAUCUAACUGCUAACUGGUCGCCUGGAGGCAUCAU
Vicugna pacos (alpaca) is the source of this 2642-nucleotide non-coding RNA. The record is from RefSeq and is a predicted model, not a curated record. NCBI's taxonomy places the organism in Eukaryota, Metazoa, Chordata, Mammalia, Artiodactyla, Camelidae.